UACGGAGGAUGCAAGCGUUAUCCGGAAUGAUUGGGCGUAAAGCGUCCGCAGGUGGCAAUGUAAGUCUGCUGUUAAAGAGUCUAGCUCAACUAGAUAAGAGCAGUGGAAACUACAUAGCUAGAGUACGUUCGGGGCAGAGGGAAUUCCUGGUGUAGCGGUGAAAUGCGUAGAGAUCAGGAAGAACACCAGUGGCGAAGGCGCUCUGCUAGGCCGUAACUGACACUGAGGCGCGAAAGCGUGGGGAGCAAACAGG
This 253-nucleotide ribosomal RNA is filed under the name uncultured bacterium. RNAcentral describes it as "partial 16S ribosomal RNA". It matches the Rfam family "Bacterial small subunit ribosomal RNA", at positions 524 to 776 of the family's 1533-position model. The record is from RNAcentral.